Molecule: ribosomal RNA, 231 nt
Filed under: uncultured bacterium
Lineage: Bacteria
Description: partial 16S ribosomal RNA
Rfam family: Bacterial small subunit ribosomal RNA
Source: RNAcentral
CGAACGGGUGAGUAAUACAUCGGAACGUGCCCAGUAGUGGGGAUAACCCGGCGAAAGCCGGACUAAUACCGCAUACGACCUACGGGUGAAAGCAGGGGAUCGAAAGACCUUGCGCUAUCGGAGCGGCCGAUGUCAGAUUAGCUUGUUGGUGGGGUAAAAGCCUACCAAGGCGACGAUCUGUAGCUGGUCUGAGAGGACGACCAGCCACACUGGGACUGAGACACGGCCCAG